Periophthalmus magnuspinnatus is the source of this 457-nucleotide non-coding RNA. NCBI's taxonomy places the organism in Eukaryota, Metazoa, Chordata, Actinopteri, Gobiiformes, Gobiidae. The record is from the annotation of a RefSeq genome assembly.
ACUGUGCUACAAUGGCCCUUACAAACUUCACUAUACUGCUGUGUGCUGUGUGUCUUUUCAAUAUGGUUCAUGGUUGGUCCAUUACAGAGUCUGGAUCAGCCAUCAAACGUCCUGGAGAAUCCCAUAGACUCACAUGCACUACCACUGAGUUAAGCUUCAGUAGCCAUGGAUGGAACUGGAUCAGACAGGCUCCAGGUAAAGGUCUGGAGUGGAUCGCAUACGUGUGCACAUCUAGUUCUCCAAUCUACUACUCCAAGUCAGUGGAGGGACGCUUCACCAUCUCCAGAGACGACUCCAGCAGCCAGGUGUAUCUGCAGAUGAGCGGCCUGAGGACAGAGGACACUGCGCUGUAUUACUGUGCCAGAAGAGACACAAUGAGACAGAAUAACAGAGCACUGGGACAAAAACUACUUCCACUGUUCACUGUGCUCUUCUCUACUGGAUGAAAAUAGUGGGA